Molecule: ribosomal RNA, 301 nt
Filed under: Acinetobacter baumannii
Lineage: Bacteria; Pseudomonadati; Pseudomonadota; Gammaproteobacteria; Moraxellales; Moraxellaceae
Description: bacterial SSU rRNA
Rfam family: Bacterial small subunit ribosomal RNA
Source: RNAcentral
UAAGGAUCGGCUAACUCCGUGCCAGCAGCCGCGGUAAUACGGAGGAUCCGAGCGUUAUCCGGAUUUAUUGGGUUUAAAGGGAGCGUAGAUGGAUGUUUAAGUCAGUUGUGAAAGUUUGCGGCUCAACCGUAAAAUUGCAGUUGAUACUGGAUAUCUUGAGUGCAGUUGAGGCAGGCGGAAUUCGUGGUGUAGCGGUGAAAUGCUUAGAUAUCACGAAGAACUCCGAUUGCGAAGGCAGCCUGCUAAGCUGCAACUGACAUUGAGGCUCGAAAGUGUGGGUAUCAAACAGGAUUAGAUACCC